AGCGAACGCUGGCGGCAGGCCUAACACAUGCAAGUCGAACGAACUCUUAGGAGUUGGUUGCUGAUGGGUGAGUAGAGUGUGGGACCGUGCCUUUUGGCUCGGGAUUCUACAGGGUAGUUUGUGCUAAUACAGGAUGUGUUACUCUGGGGCCAGAUUUAUCGCACUUAGAGAGGCACGCGACUGAUUAGCCUGUUGGUGAGGUAACGGCCCACCAAGGCGUCGCUCAGUAGCUGGUCUGAGAGGAUGACCAGCCACACUGGGUCUCAGACCCGGCCCAGACUCCUACGGGAGGCAGGAAUGGGGAAUCUAGCGCAAUGGGGGAGAGCCUGACGCAGCCAUGCCGCGUGAAUGAUGAAGUUCUGAGGAUAGUGAAAUUCUUUCAUCGGGGACGAUAAUGACGGUACCCAGAGAAGAAGCCCCGGCUAACUUCGUG
This 433-nucleotide ribosomal RNA is filed under the name uncultured bacterium. Its description in RNAcentral is "partial 16S ribosomal RNA". It matches the Rfam family "Bacterial small subunit ribosomal RNA", at positions 29 to 507 of the family's 1533-position model. The record is from RNAcentral.